UACGUAGGGUGCAAGCGUUAUCCGGAAUUAUUGGGCGUAAAGAGCUCGUAGGCGGUUUGUCGCGUCUGCUGUGAAAGCUGGAGGCUCAACCUCCAGCCUGCAGCGGGUACGGGCAAACUAGAGUGCGGUAGGGGAGAUUGGAAUUCCUGGUGUAGCGGUGGAAUGCGCAGAUAUCAGGAGGAACACCGAUGGCGAAGGCAGAUCUCUGGGCCGUAACUGACGCUGAGGAGCGAAAGCAUGGGGAGCGAACAGG
RNAcentral lists this ribosomal RNA (253 nucleotides) under uncultured bacterium. RNAcentral's name for it is "partial 16S ribosomal RNA". It matches the Rfam family "Bacterial small subunit ribosomal RNA", at positions 524 to 776 of the family's 1533-position model. The record is from RNAcentral.